CUACGGGCUGCAGCAGUGGGGAAUAUUGGACAAUGAGGGAAACCUUGAUCCAGCAAUACCGCGUGUGUGAAGAAGGCCUGCGGGUUGUAAAGCACUUUCAGUUGGGAAGAAGUGUUAUAGUUUAAGAGAUAAUAAUAUUGACGUUACUGACAGAAGAAGCACCGGCUAACUCUGUGCCAGCAGCCGCGGUAAUACAGAGGGUGCGAGCGUUAAUCGGAAUUACUGGGCGUAAAGCGUGCGUAGGUUGUUAUAUAAGUUAGGUGUGAAAUCCUGGAGCUCAACUUCAGAAUUGCGCUUAAUACUGUAUAACUAGAGUCUUGGAGGGGAUAGUGGAAUUUCCGGUGUAGCGGUGAAAUGCGUAGAUAUCGGAAGGAACAUCAGAGGCGAAGGCGACUAUCUGGCCAAAGACUGACACUGAGGCACGAAAGCGUGGGUAGCAAACAGGAUUAGAUACCCGGGUAGUC
Molecule: ribosomal RNA, 464 nt
Filed under: uncultured bacterium
Lineage: Bacteria
Description: partial 16S ribosomal RNA
Rfam family: Bacterial small subunit ribosomal RNA
Source: RNAcentral